Molecule: ribosomal RNA, 510 nt
Filed under: uncultured bacterium
Lineage: Bacteria
Description: partial 16S ribosomal RNA
Rfam family: Bacterial small subunit ribosomal RNA
Source: RNAcentral
GACGAACGCUGGCGGCGUGCUUAACACAUGCAAGUCGAACGAAGAGCGAUGGAAGCUUGCUUCUAUCACUCUUAGUGGCGAACGGGUGAGUAACGCGUAAUCAACCUGCCCUUCAGAGGGGAACAACAGUUGGAAACGACUGCUAAUACCGCAUACGAUCUAACCUCGGCAUCGAGGAAAGAUGAAAGGUGGCCUCUAUGUAUAAGCUAUCACUGAAGGAGGGGAUUGCGUCUGAUUAGCUAGUUGGAGGGGUAACGGCCCACCAAGGCGAUGAUCAGUAGCCGGUCUGAGAGGAUGAACGGCCACAUUGGGACUGAGACACGGCCCAGACUCCUACGGGAGGCAGCAGUGGGGAAUCUUCCGCAAUGGACGAAAGUCUGACGGAGCAACGCCGCGUGAGUGAUGACGGCCUUUGGGUUGUAAAGCUCUGUUAAUCGGGACGAAAGGCCUUCUUGCGAAUAGUGAGAAGGAUUGACGGUACCGGAAUAGAAAGCCACGGCUAACUACGUG